Molecule: long non-coding RNA, 3884 nt
Organism: Apis mellifera (honey bee)
Lineage: Eukaryota; Metazoa; Arthropoda; Insecta; Hymenoptera; Apidae
Exons: 5
Source: RefSeq, a predicted model, not a curated record
AGAAAUCAGAAGUAUUUAUUUUUUUUAAAUUCUGGACGAAAUUCUAUCAUAAAAAGAUAAAAAGAAUUCCCCUGUAUAUGAUAAUAAUUGGUAUUUAAUUUGCAGAAGAUCAGAGAAGAUGGGAGGUAUUUUUCGUCUGAGCGAACUAUCAGAAGUGGAGACAACGAUUUUCCAUUUUGCAACAACGAUCGGUGUUCUUCCUCGUAUGUCGUCGCCGACACGGGGAGAACCGUACCGGAGGCGACACUUCCGGGAGAUCAGCUCGUCGCUGGGAGGAAUGGCUGUUCGAGGAGAAGGAAAAAAAGGGCAAAGACCGUGGCGGAGGAAAGAGGUGACCCGGAUUUCUUUGCCUCUUUGCACCAGAGAGAAAACCGUAUCUCAAGGUGGCCCAUCAUUUUCCGCGAGGGGAGCAUUUUGGCACCGCGGUUGCCACCCUCCCCUCCCCUCCCCUCCUUUGUCCAUUGCGAAUGAUCGAUCGAUCAGAAGUUUUAUCACGAUAAGAAUGGUGGAAAGACGAAGGAGAAUAUUACUCUUAUAUACGCGAUAAUCGCACUUGGGAUCACUUUCCGUCGCCCUACUUGUCGUCCAUCACUUUGCAAUGCAAUAUGGAAAAAACGGGGCUACCUAUUCAGCUUAAUUGAAUUCACGCCCUACGAGUGUAACGAGGAGGAGCAAUUAAAAGAUGGAUAAAGUGGCCCUUUGGCAGUGGCAAGCACUCUGAAAAAAAUGUUCAUUUUCCUCGAAGAGAAAAUCAUCCUCGUUACCCUUCGAGAGAUGGACGAAAGAGUGGCCGUAUUCUUCUAAUAAAACGAAUAGAAAUCUCUUCCGACAUCGAUUUAAAUAUCUCCGCGUACGGAGGACCGUUUUCGAAACUUUCGAUGGCCGACGGAGUUGGAAGAAGAAGAAGAAGAUGAAGAAGAAGUCGGUGUUCCGUUUCAAAGGCGAUCGAUUGACCUUCCCACUUUCCUCCACGUUGGACUGCGUUUUCGGCUUUACCUUGCACCUGCGGGAAGGCAAAGGGCAAACGAGAUUGACAGAUUGAUAAAUAGCUCGGAGAAACAAGAGUGAUAUUAAUGAUUAUAUUAAUACGUUCGGGAAGGAAUAAAAACAUAUUUGAAAUUUUAACUAUGCUUAGAAAUUAAUAAUAUAUAUACAUAGAUCUUUUGAAUAAUCUACAUCGAUUUAAAGGGAAAAAGGGUUAUUUGAAUAUUACUCGACACGAAUCCACCAUUUCAUCGAAAACCAUUUUUCAAAAUUUCGUCCGUGUUGAUUACAUUUCAUCUCGCUCGUGCGAGAAGACACGUUGCGUAUGUUCGCUUGCGAUUGAAAAGUUCGCAUUACUCCAUCGGUAAAUUCGUAACGCAGGAUGACGUGAUUGACAGAUUGAUAAAUAGCUCGGAGAAACAAGAGUGAUAUUAAUGAUUACAUUAAUACGUUCGGGAAGGAAUAAAAUUAACAUAUUUGAAAUUUUAACUAUGCCUAGAAAUUAAUAAUAUAUAUAUAUACAUAGAUCUUUUGAAUAAUCCACGUCGAUUUAAAAGAAAAAAGGGUUAUUUGAAUAUUACUCGACACGAAUCCACCAUUUCAUCGAAAACCAUUUUUCAAAAUUUCGUCCGUGUUGAUUACAUUUCAUCUCGCUCGUGCGAGAAGACACGUUGCGUAUGUUCGAUUGAAAAGUUCGCAUUACUCCAUCGGUAAAUUCGUAACGCGGGAUGACGUCAUUGGUGAGCGCGCGCAAAUGCCCCUGUUUCGCGAUACGCAAACGUCCGUUUUCCGCGAUCCGUGCCACGGGGGCACCGCCAUCGUAAAGCCAUUUCGGGGAUCCCGCGACAUAAAUUAUAAAAUCGACCGACGCCAGAUCGUCUGUGCAAUGGCCGGCAUGUAGGACGCCGCGGAAGAAUAUCCCCCUUCGUUUAUUCUGACCGUUGCUUUUAUAUCUUUCAGCUCUCGAUCAUCGACUCGAUCUCCGGACUCCAUGGAAUAAUCGUCGAAAAAAAUUUGUCGAAAUGACUUGUUCCACGCAUCUUUCUUUCCAAGAUGGACGUCGAAAGUAGUAAGUAACAAUAUAAUGAAGAAGAGGAUUGUGGAGGUUGAAAGAGAAGGAUAAAGGAAUGAAUGAGGGAGGGUAGAGGUGCAACAGAUCGGUGUUGUGUGAAAUUCGGGCCACGAGGUUUAUACAAUGUGUACAGUGUGUGUACAAUUUUCGAUUUCCCACGGGAGGCCAGGCAAAUUCAUAACCCAAUCUAUCGAUACAACAUUGGAUGCAAUGUACCUUGUAACUCGGAUAUCCACGAUCAAACGAGGAGGAAUAUAAAACGACCACUGAAAAGGAUAUACACGAGGUGAUAUGUGUUCGCUUAUGGUAGAUGGAACUGUACAUAGAUGAAAAAAAAAGUCUAUGGUAUUGAAAAUGCACGUAUCACCAAUCCGGCGAAUUUGGCAGAAAUCCAGAACUACCGAAAAGAAAGAAAGCCCGCGACACGGCCGAUAAUCAUCGUAAACGUUGUCGAAAUCGUUCCCUUUUGUUGACAAAACUUUGGACGAAUCUCGAGUCCCGAAGUCAAGAAUUGAAUUAAAUAUUUUUUUUAACUGCUUUAUUGUUGGAAUAAUUUGCAAAAAAGAUUUUUUCCAAGAUCAAUUAAUGGUAAUUAAUUUUCAGGUUUAUGCAAAUUUUUGAUGGAAAGAAAAGGAUCUAUUUCGUAUCGAUCGAGUCAAUGAGGAAACAUAAUGGAAAUUGAUGUGAUUGUUCAAAGAGUUUUGGAUAAAUUUGGAAGAUAGUAAGAUGGGAAAAAAUUUUGAAAAUUCUAAGCUUGAAACGAUAUUUUGGAAAUGACCUCGAUGACUUGGAAUGGAAAAGGAAUUCUUGAAAUUGACAAGAAUUUCGGGCCUCCCUAAUCUUCGAUGACCCAAAUAUUUUCCCUUCUCAAUGAUGCAGAAUUGCAGUGAGCGAGUCAGUCAUCAGUGCUCUUUCAUCUACGCUUGUUUCAAAAAAAUUAUGAUAAAAUAAUGAUUAUCGAGGAACUAAAAAAAUCUACAAGAAAAAGAACAAACUAGAUAGAAGAGAGAGCAAAGUUUAAAGGAGAAACCUUUGUGAAAUUUUCUUUGUCAAGUUUCUCAGAGAACUGUAUGUAAAAGUCAGUGGGAAAAAUUGUCACUAUAAUGUCUGAUUUCUGUUUGGUUCUGUCCCGACCUGUCUACCUAACGUACGCUUUUUAACGUUGCCUCUCGAGGUUAGUCUCCACCGAUUGAUCCACGUUCUACUUCCACUUCUCUCUGUUUCAACUUUACUCGGUUGAAUUGGAGUAUUUGAUCGAAAAUGAUGCUCUACGAUUCUUACACAUAUCGAUUGCGAUUCUAGCACACCACAUCUUCCCUGACCUUGUCCCCCAAGUUUCCACAUCGUCGUUUUGUCGUUUGGCACAAUCCACGUCUCUCUGUUCAUCAAUCAGUCGAACGUACUGGGGCGGUCCACUUCGCAGAAUUCGAAACAUACAUACGUAUGUAAAUAUUUUUCCAUAAACUGUUCCAUCUAUCUAGCCAUAUCGUCCAAUUCUCUGUUAUUGUUAUUAUUCCAAAUAACUGAUAUCGAGUGUUGUAAAUCGUGUAAGAAAAAUGAAGAAAAUUGGACGGAUCGCGAAAACGAAAGGGGAGAGAAAGAGAAAAAAAAGGAGAAAAGCAGAGUUCGAUGGCGCACCACGCGACCGCAAUGAUGAUCAUUCCAAGAAUAGGCAUCACCGAUAUCAAUAGAGAAUAGAGAAUUCGAGUGAGAAUUUCCAACAUUUCUGAGUAAAUUUGGAUUCAUUGGGUUUAUUGGAUUAAUGGAGAUACAAUGCAUGUACGUGCGUGUACGCGCGGCAAGAAUUCGCGAGCGGAAAGGAGACAGG